RNAcentral lists this ribosomal RNA (508 nucleotides) under uncultured bacterium. Its description in RNAcentral is "bacterial SSU rRNA". It matches the Rfam family "Bacterial small subunit ribosomal RNA", at positions 501 to 1011 of the family's 1533-position model. The record is from RNAcentral.
CUACGUGCCAGCAGCCGCGGUAAUACGGAAGGUCCAGGCGUUAUCCGGAUUUAUUGGGUUUAAAGGGAGCGUAGGCUGGAGAUUAAGUGUGUUGUGAAAUGUAGGCGCUCAACGUCUGAAUUGCAGCGCAUACUGGUUUCCUUGAGUACGCACAACGUUGGCGGAAUUCGUCGUGUAGCGGUGAAAUGCUUAGAUAUGACGAAGAACUCCGAUUGCGAAGGCAGCUGACGGGAGCGCAACUGACGCUUAAGCUCGAAGGUGCGGGUAUCAAACAGGAUUAGAUACCCUGGUAGUCCGCACAGUAAACGAUGGAUGCCCGCUGUUGGUACCUGGUAUCAGCGGCUAAGCGAAAGCAUUAAGCAUCCCACCUGGGGAGUACGCCGGCAACGGUGAAACUCAAAGGAAUUGACGGGGGCCCGCACAAGCGGAGGAGCAUGUGGUUUAAUUCGAAGCAACGCGAAGAACCUUACCAGGUCUUGACAUCCCUCUGAUCGCUCUAGAGAUAGAG